GAUGAACGCUGGCGGCGUGCUUAACACAUGCAAGUCGAACGGGAAACCUUUUAUUGAAGCUUCGGCAGAUUUAGAUUGUUUCUAGUGGCGGACGGGUGAGUAACGCGUGGGUAACCUGCCUUAUACAGGGGGAUAACAGUCAGAAAUGACUGCUAAUACCGCAUAAGCGCACAGAGCUGCAUGGCUCGGUGUGAAAAACUCCGGUGGUAUAAGAUGGACCCGCGUUGGAUUAGCUGGUUGGUGAGGUAACGGCCCACCAAGGCGACGAUCCAUAGCCGGCCUGAGAGGGUGAACGGCCACAUUGGGACUGAGACACGGCCCAGACUCCUACGGGAGGCAGCAGUGGGGAAUAUUGCACAAUGGGGGAAACCCUGAUGCAGCGACGCCGCGUGAAGGAAGAAGUAUCUCGGUAUGUAAACUUCUAUCAGCAGGGAAGAAUUAGGACGG
This 447-nucleotide ribosomal RNA is filed under the name uncultured bacterium. RNAcentral describes it as "bacterial SSU rRNA". It matches the Rfam family "Bacterial small subunit ribosomal RNA", at positions 28 to 458 of the family's 1533-position model. The record is from RNAcentral.